This 402-nucleotide ribosomal RNA is filed under the name uncultured bacterium. RNAcentral's name for it is "bacterial SSU rRNA". It matches the Rfam family "Bacterial small subunit ribosomal RNA", at positions 355 to 774 of the family's 1533-position model. The record is from RNAcentral.
UCGGGAAUUUUGGGCAAUGGGCGAAAGCCUGACCCAGCAACGCCGCGUGAGGGAUGAAGUAUUUCGGUAUGUAAACCUCGAAAGAAUGGGAAGAAUAAAUGACGGUACCAUUUAUAAGCUCCGGCUAACUACGUGCCAGCAGCCGCGGUAAUACGUAGGGAGCAAGCGUUGUUCGGAUUUACUGGGCGUAAAGGGCGCGUAGGCGGCGCGGUAAGUCACUUGUGAAAUCUCUGAGCUUAACUCAGAACGGCCAAGUGAUACUGCUGAGCUAGAGUGCGGAAGAGGCAACCGGAAUUCUUGGUGUAGCGGUGAAAUGCGUAGAUAUCAAGAGGAACACCUGAGCCGAAGGCGGGUUGCUGCGCCGACACUGACGCUGAUGCGCGAAAGCCAGGGGAGCAAACG